This 493-nucleotide ribosomal RNA is filed under the name uncultured bacterium. RNAcentral describes it as "bacterial SSU rRNA". It matches the Rfam family "Bacterial small subunit ribosomal RNA", at positions 28 to 507 of the family's 1533-position model. The record is from RNAcentral.
GAUGAACGCUAGCGGCAGGCUUAAUACAUGCAAGUUGAGGGGCAGCAUGAUAUACGCGAGUAUAUUGAUGGCGACCGGCGGACGGGUGAGUAAUAGGUAGGAGACCUACCUCAUACAGGGGGAUAGCAUAGAGAAAUCUGUGGUAAUACCCCAUGAGGUUAUAUGAAUAGAGGCAUAUAAUCAAAGCAUAAGCGAUUAUGCGGUAUGAGAGGGGCCUACUGACCAUUAGCUAGUUGGUGAGGUAAGGGCUCACCAAGGCGAAGAUGGUUAGGGGUUUUGAGAGAGAGACCCCCCACAUUGGAACUGAGAGACGGUCCAGACUCCUACGGGAGGCAGCAGUAGGGAAUAUUGGGCAAUGGGCGAAAGCCUGACCCAGCCAUGCCGCGUGAAGGAGACGGCCUUAUGGGUUGUAAACUUCUUUACUACGCGAAUAGAGGUUAGUACGAGAUACUAAUAGGAAGGUAGUGUAGUAAAAGCACCGGCUAACUCCGUG